CUACCACAUUAGGGGUGCCUGUAAAUAAGGCUGAGAGGAAUAUUCCAACCCUUUGAACCUGAUCUCACUUGUAUGAGCGGAGGAAAAUGUGUCUAUCAUUAU
Molecule: non-coding RNA, 102 nt
Filed under: Legionella israelensis
Lineage: Bacteria; Pseudomonadati; Pseudomonadota; Gammaproteobacteria; Legionellales; Legionellaceae
Description: TPP sequence
Rfam family: TPP riboswitch aptamer (THI element)
About the family: Vitamin B(1) in its active form thiamin pyrophosphate (TPP) is an essential coenzyme that is synthesised by coupling of pyrimidine and thiazole moieties in bacteria. The previously detected thiamin-regulatory element, thi box was extended, resulting in a new, highly conserved RNA secondary structure, the THI element, which is widely distributed in eubacteria and also occurs in some archaea.
Source: Rfam by way of RNAcentral